RNAcentral lists this ribosomal RNA (419 nucleotides) under bacterium. RNAcentral's name for it is "partial 16S ribosomal RNA". It matches the Rfam family "Bacterial small subunit ribosomal RNA", at positions 355 to 776 of the family's 1533-position model. The record is from RNAcentral.
UGGGGGAUAUUGCACAAUGGGCGAAAGCCUGAUGCAGCGACGCCGCGUGGGGGAUGAAGGCUUUCGGGUUGUAAACCUCUUUCGCUAUCGAACAAGGCCCGCUUAGGGCGGGUUGAGGGUAGGUGGAGAAGAAGCGCCGGCUAACUACGUGCCCGCAGCCGCGGUAAUACGUAGGGCGCGAGCGUUGUCCGGAAUUAUUGGGCGUAAAGGGCUUGUAGGCGGCUUGUUGCGCCUGCUGUGAAAACGUGGGCUUAACUUCGCGCGUGCAGUGGGUACGGGCAGGCUUGAGUGUGGUAGGGGUGACUGGAAUUCCAGGUGUAGCGGUGGAAUGCGCAGAUAUCUGGAGGAACACCGAUGGCGAAGGCAGGUCACUGGGCCAUUACUGACGCUGAGGAGCGAAAGCAUGGGUAGCGAACAGG